This 253-nucleotide ribosomal RNA is filed under the name uncultured bacterium. RNAcentral's name for it is "partial 16S ribosomal RNA". It matches the Rfam family "Bacterial small subunit ribosomal RNA", at positions 524 to 776 of the family's 1533-position model. The record is from RNAcentral.
UACGGAGGGGGCUAGCGUUGUUCGGAAUUACUGGGCGUAAAGCGCACGUAGGCGGCUUUGUAAGUUAGAGGUGAAAGCCCGGAGCUUAACUCCGGAACUGCCUUUAAGACUGCAUCGCUUGAAUCAUGGAGAGGUGAGUGGAAUUCCGAGUGUAGAGGUGAAAUUCGUAGAUAUUCGGAAGAACACCAGUGGCGAAGGCGACUCACUGGACAUGUAUUGACGCUGAGGUGCGAAAGCGUGGGGAGCAAACAGG